RNAcentral lists this ribosomal RNA (253 nucleotides) under uncultured bacterium. Its description in RNAcentral is "partial 16S ribosomal RNA". It matches the Rfam family "Bacterial small subunit ribosomal RNA", at positions 524 to 776 of the family's 1533-position model. The record is from RNAcentral.
UACGUAGGUUGCGAGCGUUAAUCGGAAUUACUGGGCGUAAAGGGUGUGUAGGCGGUUCGGAAAGAAGGAUGUGAAAUUCCAGGGCUUAACCUUGGGACGGCAUUUUUAACUACCGGGCUAGAGUGUGUCAGAGGGAGGUGGAAUUCCGCGUGUAGCAGUGAAAUGCGUAGAGAUGCGGAGGAACACAGAUGGCGAAGGCAGCCUCCUGGGAUGACACUGACGCUGAGGCACGAAAGCGUGGGGAGCAAACAGG